UACGUAGGGGGCAAGCGUUGUCCGGAUUUAUUGGGCGUAAAGAGCGUGUAGGCGGUUUGGUAGGUCCGUUGUGAAAACUCGAGGCUCAACCUCGAGACGCCGAUGGAAACCAUCAGACUAGAGUCCGGAAGAGGAGAGUGGAAUUCCUGGUGUAGCGGUGAAAUGCGCAGAUAUCAGGAGGAACACCGGUGGCGAAGGCGGAUCUCUGGGCCAUUACUGACGCUGAGGAGCGAAAGCGUGGGGAGCGAACAGG
Molecule: ribosomal RNA, 253 nt
Filed under: uncultured bacterium
Lineage: Bacteria
Description: partial 16S ribosomal RNA
Rfam family: Bacterial small subunit ribosomal RNA
Source: RNAcentral